This 527-nucleotide ribosomal RNA is filed under the name uncultured bacterium. RNAcentral describes it as "partial 16S ribosomal RNA". It matches the Rfam family "Bacterial small subunit ribosomal RNA", at positions 355 to 900 of the family's 1533-position model. The record is from RNAcentral.
UGGGGAAUAUUGGACAAUGGGGGCAACCCUGAUCCAGCAAUGCCGCGUGUGUGAAGAAGGUCUUCGGAUUGUAAAGCACUUUCGACGGGGACGAUGAUGACGGUACCCGUAGAAGAAGCCCCGGCUAACUUCGUGCCAGCAGCCGCGGUAAUACGAAGGGGGCUAGCGUUGCUCGGAAUGACUGGGCGUAAAGGGCGUGUAGGCGGUUUACACAGUCAGAUGUGAAAUCCCCGGGCUUAACCUGGGAGCUGCAUUUGAUACGUGUAGACUAGAGUGUGAGAGAGGGUUGUGGAAUUCCCAGUGUAGAGGUGAAAUUCGUAGAUAUUGGGAAGAACACCGGUGGCGAAGGCGGCAACCUGGCUCAUGACUGACGCUGAGGCGCGAAAGCGUGGGGAGCAAACAGGAUUAGAUACCCUGGUAGUCCACGCUGUAAACGAUGUGUGCUAGAUGUUGGGUAACUUUGUUAUUCAGUGUCGCAGUUAACGCGUUAAGCACACCGCCUGGGGAUACGGCCGCAAGGUUGAAAC